Non-coding RNA from Peromyscus maniculatus bairdii (prairie deer mouse), 2321 nucleotides. The record is from RefSeq and is a predicted model, not a curated record. NCBI's taxonomy places the organism in Eukaryota, Metazoa, Chordata, Mammalia, Rodentia, Cricetidae.
UCCACAGUGACACACUUCCACACCUACUCCAACAAGGCCUCACCUCCUAAUAGUGCCAUUCCCUUCGAGGGCCAUUUUCUUUUAGCCCACCACAGGGCCACUGCCCCCUGAAGUUGGAGAGACUGACACAGUGCCACAGUGAGAGCUGCCAGGAAAGGCUGCGCUGCCACUGAAACUGAUGAACUGUUGAUGCUCAGACCUCCAGGGGACUCGAUAGUUUCAAGGCCCCCCACACUUACUUUCGUGGUUUCACUCCCAGGUUCUGACUGUGAAUAUUUGAGGAAUCUCUCCAGGGUCUCCUGCCAGGAGAGGCGUUGGGGAGGGGGACAUUCAAAGUUUCUUAGCAAGAGAAACUGUUUAAUUAGAACCUAACAUGAUGGGGUUUGGUCAGAACCUAACUGACCCAGGGCAAGAGAAACGUGCGAUUUCAGCCCCCAUUUAAAGGAAAAAAAUGAAGGAGAGGAAAGAGGCAUGUGUAAGGGCCAUGCUCAAAGGUGUAGUUGUCUGAAAGAUUAUGACCUAAUCGUAGGAGCAGAGAAUGUGGCCCAUCUCCCUUGCCUUUCCAGCACGCACUAAGUACCUGCUCUAACAAUGUCCUUCAUCUUGUCUGCCUAUAAAGAAACAUUCCCAAGACAUAUGAAGACACAACUUGAAGAAACUGAAACACGGCAGAAUCAAGACCCAGAUAUGACAGGAAUAUUGAAAUUAUCAGGACUGUAAAGCACCUGUGAAUAGUGUGUUGAAGCUUUAAUAAAGCAGAUGCAUGGCAUGCAAGAGGAGAUGGGCAGUAGAAACAGAGAGAUGGAAAGGGGAAAAAAUGCAAGGCAUAGAAGCCGUAGUGGUGGAAGCAGUGGCCACCUAUGACAGGGCUCUUAGCGCACUGCACACAGCUGAGGGAAGAAUCCUGGAUCCCAAGGAAAUCAUGACAGAAACCUCGAACCCAGUGAGCAAAGGGAACUUUAAGGGAAAAGAACAGACUACCCAGAAACCGUGAGACAAAUACAGAAACUGUAACACACGAUGGAAAUAAUGGAAAAUCAAAGAAAAAGAAGACGAAACACUUGAAAUAAUAUGAUUGAGAAUACCCAGAAGUUAAUGCCAGAUGCUGAACCACAGAUCCGGAAAGUUCAGAGAAUGCCAAUCAAGAUGAGUGACAGAAAAACUACAUGUAGGUUCAUAACGUUUAAACUACAGUUCAAAGAGAAAGUGGAAAUCCUGCAAGAAGACAGAGGAAUAAAAAAUACUUCCUCAGACAGACAGAACUGGAGAGUUUGUCACCAGCAAAAAGACUUUGAACACAAUGUUAAGAGAUGUUCUUUAGGGGGCUGGGGCCAUGGCGGCUCAUGCCGGGUGAUGCUAGGCGUAUCCCUGGGCUCCAGGCUGUUGUAGGGUGUGGGUGGCAGGCACAGGCAGUUAGGAGUGUGAGGUGUCAGCCAAUGUGGUGCAGCCGUGACGGUGGGGGAGAGCAUGGUCUGGGUGGACCCCGAGAAGACAGGAUUGGACAUCGAGAAGGAUCAGAUUAUUGAGAUGGCCUGUCUGAGAACUGACUCUGAUCUUAACAUUUUGGCUAAAGGUCCCAACCUGAUGAUGGAGCAGCUGGAGGAGCUGCUGGACAGCAUGUCAGAUUGGUGCAAGGAGCAUCAUGGGACGUCUGGUCUCACCACGGCCGUGAGGGAGAGUAUACUUACACUGCAGCAGGCAGAGUAUGAAUUUCUGUCCUUUGUACGACAGCAGACUCCUCUGGGGCUCUGCUCACAGUCAGGGAAUUCAGUCCAUGCAGAUAAGAAGUUUCCUGACAAAUCUAUCCCAGUCCAUGAACCAUCUUCACCAUAGGACCAUUGACGUGAGCACUGUUACAGAGCCGUGCAGACGCUGGUCUCCAGGAGAGUUUGGAUUUGCUCCGAAGAAGGCUGCUUCUCACAGGGCCCUCGGUGGCAUCAGUGAAAGCUCUAAAGAGCUUCGGUUUUACCGAAAUAAAGUCAAGAAGAAAGACAGAUGAAAAGAAGAGGAAAAUGAUAGAGAACGGGGAAAAGAAGAGGAAAAUAAUAGAGAACGGAGAAAUGAGAAGACUGUGAAUUAAGCGCUCGCCUUAUAUUUAAGGCAACUUUUAUAGCAUGGUUCGUACAUCGGUUCACUACGAGAAGACUGUGAGCUGAUGCCAGUUCUCAAGCUGCAUAGUCUACCUGGUUCUCCCGAAGCCACUCUCCUGCUGACAACUCGGCAGAACACCCUUUCUGUCUUUUUUAAAUUUAUUCAUUUAUUUAUUUAUUUUAUGUGCAUUGAUAUUUUGCCUGCAUGUAUGUCAGUGUGAGGGUUUCUGA